UACGUAGGGUCCGAGCGUUGUCCGGAAUUACUGGGCGUAAAGAGCUCGUAGGUGGUUUGUCGCGUUGUUCGUGAAAACUUACAGCUUAACUGUGGGCGUGCGGGCGAUACGGGCAGACUUGAGUACUGCAGGGGAGACUGGAAUUCCUGGUGUAGCGGUGGAAUGCGCAGAUAUCAGGAGGAACACCGGUGGCGAAGGCGGGUCUCUGGGCAGUAACUGACGCUGAGGAGCGAAAGCGUGGGGAGCGAACAGG
RNAcentral lists this ribosomal RNA (253 nucleotides) under uncultured bacterium. RNAcentral's name for it is "partial 16S ribosomal RNA". It matches the Rfam family "Bacterial small subunit ribosomal RNA", at positions 524 to 776 of the family's 1533-position model. The record is from RNAcentral.